UUAAGCGACUAAGCGUACACGGUGGAUGCCCUGGCAGUCAGAGGCGAUGAAGGACGUGCUAAUCUGCGAUAAGCGUCGGUAAGGUGAUAUGAACCGUUAUAACCGGCGAUUUCCGAAUGGGGAAACCCAGUGUGAUUCGUCACACUAUCAUUAACUGAAUCCAUAGGUUAAUGAGGCGAACCGGGGGAACUGAAACAUCUAAGUACCCCGAGGAAAAGAAAUCAACCGAGAUUCCCCCAGUAGCGGCGAGCGAACGGGGAGGAGCCCAGAGCCUGAAUCAGUGUGUGUGUUAGUGGAAGCGUCUGGAAAGGCGCGCGAUACAGGGUGACAGCCCCGUACACAAAAAUGCACAUGCUGUGAGCUCGAUGAGUAGGGCGGGACACGUGGUAUCCUGUCUGAAUAUGGGGGACCAUCCUCCAAGGCUAAAUACUCCUGACUGACCGAUAGUGAACCAGUACCGUGAGGGAAAGGCGAAAAGAACCCCGGCGAGGGGAGUGAAAAAGAACCUGAAACCGUGUACGUACAAGCAGUGGGAGCCUCUUUUAUGGGGUGACUGCGUACCUUUUGUAUAAUGGGUCAGCGACUUAUAUUCUGUAGCAAGGUUAACCGAAUAGGGGAGCCGAAGGGAAACCGAGUCUUAACUGGGCGUUAAGUUGCAGGGUAUAGACCCGAAACCCGGUGAUCUAGCCAUGGGCAGGUUGAAGGUUGGGUAACACUAACUGGAGGACCGAACCGACUAAUGUUGAAAAAUUAGCGGAUGACUUGUGGCUGGGGGUGAAAGGCCAAUCAAACCGGGAGAUAGCUGGUUCUCCCCGAAAGCUAUUUAGGUAGCGCCUCGUGAAUUCAUCUCCGGGGGUAGAGCACUGUUUCGGCAAGGGGGUCAUCCCGACUUACCAACCCGAUGCAAACUGCGAAUACCGGAGAAUGUUAUCACGGGAGACACACGGCGGGUGCUAACGUCCGUCGUGAAGAGGGAAACAACCCAGACCGCCAGCUAAGGUCCCAAAGUCAUGGUUAAGUGGGAAACGAUGUGGGAAGGCCCAGACAGCCAGGAUGUUGGCUUAGAAGCAGCCAUCAUUUAAAGAAAGCGUAAUAGCUCACUGGUCGAGUCGGCCUGCGCGGAAGAUGUAACGGGGCUAAACCAUGCACCGAAGCUGCGGCAGCGACACUGUGUGUUGUUGGGUAGGGGAGCGUUCUGUAAGCCUGUGAAGGUGUGCUGUGAGGCAUGCUGGAGGUAUCAGAAGUGCGAAUGCUGACAUAAGUAACGAUAAAGCGGGUGAAAAGCCCGCUCGCCGGAAGACCAAGGGUUCCUGUCCAACGUUAAUCGGGGCAGGGUGAGUCGACCCCUAAGGCGAGGCCGAAAGGCGUAGUCGAUGGGAAACAGGUUAAUAUUCCUGUACUUGGUGUUACUGCGAAGGGGGGACGGAGAAGGCUAUGUUGGCCGGGCGACGGUUGUCCCGGUUUAAGCGUGUAGGCUGGUUUUCCAGGCAAAUCCGGAAAAUCAAGGCUGAGGCGUGAUGACGAGGCACUACGGUGCUGAAGCAACAAAUGCCCUGCUUCCAGGAAAAGCCUCUAAGCAUCAGGUAACAUCAAAUCGUACCCCAAACCGACACAGGUGGUCAGGUAGAGAAUACCAAGGCGCUUGAGAGAACUCGGGUGAAGGAACUAGGCAAAAUGGUGCCGUAACUUCGGGAGAAGGCACGCUGAUAUGUAGGUGAAGUCCCUCGCGGAUGGAGCUGAAAUCAGUCGAAGAUACCAGCUGGCUGCAACUGUUUAUUAAAAACACAGCACUGUGCAAACACGAAAGUGGACGUAUACGGUGUGACGCCUGCCCGGUGCCGGAAGGUUAAUUGAUGGGGUCAGCGCAAGCGAAGCUCUUGAUCGAAGCCCCGGUAAACGGCGGCCGUAACUAUAACGGUCCUAAGGUAGCGAAAUUCCUUGUCGGGUAAGUUCCGACCUGCACGAAUGGCGUAAUGAUGGCCAGGCUGUCUCCACCCGAGACUCAGUGAAAUUGAACUCGCUGUGAAGAUGCAGUGUACCCGCGGCAAGACGGAAAGACCCCGUGAACCUUUACUAUAGCUUGACACUGAACAUUGAGCCUUGAUGUGUAGGAUAGGUGGGAGGCUUUGAAGUGUGGACGCCAGUCUGCAUGGAGCCGACCUUGAAAUACCACCCUUUAAUGUUUGAUGUUCUAACGUGGACCCGUGAUCCGGGUUGCGGACAGUGUCUGGUGGGUAGUUUGACUGGGGCGGUCUCCUCCUAAAGAGUAACGGAGGAGCACGAAGGUUGGCUAAUCCUGGUCGGACAUCAGGAGGUUAGUGCAAUGGCAUAAGCCAGCUUGACUGCGAGCGUGACGGCGCGAGCAGGUGCGAAAGCAGGUCAUAGUGAUCCGGUGGUUCUGAAUGGAAGGGCCAUCGCUCAACGGAUAAAAGGUACUCCGGGGAUAACAGGCUGAUACCGCCCAAGAGUUCAUAUCGACGGCGGUGUUUGGCACCUCGAUGUCGGCUCAUCACAUCCUGGGGCUGAAGUAGGUCCCAAGGGUAUGGCUGUUCGCCAUUUAAAGUGGUACGCGAGCUGGGUUUAGAACGUCGUGAGACAGUUCGGUCCCUAUCUGCCGUGGGCGCUGGAGAACUGAGGGGGGCUGCUCCUAGUACGAGAGGACCGGAGUGGACGCAUCACUGGUGUUCGGGUUGUCAUGCCAAUGGCACUGCCCGGUAGCUAAAUGCGGAAGAGAUAAGUGCUGAAAGCAUCUAAGCACGAAACUUGCCCCGAGAUGAGUUCUCCCUGACCCUUUAAGGGUCCUGAAGGAACGUUGAAGACGACGACGUUGAUAGGCCGGGUGUGUAAGCGCAGCGAUGCGUUGAGCUAACCGGUACUAAUGAACCGUGAGGCUUAACCU
This 2899-nucleotide ribosomal RNA is filed under the name Escherichia coli O157:H7. RNAcentral's name for it is "bacterial LSU rRNA". It matches the Rfam family "Bacterial large subunit ribosomal RNA". Lineage: Bacteria; Pseudomonadati; Pseudomonadota; Gammaproteobacteria; Enterobacterales; Enterobacteriaceae. The record is from RNAcentral.